CACAACAAUCAAAAGAUGCAGUAGGGCAUCUCAUUCAUUUCGCCGGCAGAAGGAGUAGAGGGAGUGACGGCGCCUUUGGUGUCUCCUCCUUUCUUUUCCUUUCUUAUUUUUGGAAUUCAAAUAAUAUUAUCAUUGAUUUUAUUAUCUUGUAAUUUGUUAUUUACAUUAGAUUAGGUUAGGUUAAUUUUUUGUAUUAAUACUUGGAUUAUAAAUGAAGUUUUUUGGAGCAACAAGAAGUGGCGAUUUCAUAAAGCUUUAUCAUCUUCAUUUCUUAAUCAGUAUUGAUGGGACUCGGGAGAUAGUUGUAUGCUACUUCUGCCAUUGUUAGCAAUUGCAAGCUUGCUGGAAGAUCUCAUGUUCUACUGUUUUACAUGUUUCUAAAACAUGUUUCUAUUCUUUCUGCUCAUAUUAACUGUUCAAACAGCUUUAAGAAGUUGAUAUAGAUUGGUCUCUGAAACUCAUGAACCAUUUGCUUUCACAAAUCACAUCACAUGAAAAUGACUUAAGUGUAAUUUGUCACCUAUGAAAAUACAAUUAUUAUUUAUUGAUGUUUCA
Molecule: long non-coding RNA, 555 nt
Organism: Lactuca sativa (garden lettuce)
Lineage: Eukaryota; Viridiplantae; Streptophyta; Magnoliopsida; Asterales; Asteraceae
Source: RefSeq, a predicted model, not a curated record